AUUGAACGCUGGCGGCAGGCCUAACACAUGCAAGUCGAGCGGAUGACGGGAGUUUGCUCCUUGAUUCAGCGGCGGACGGGUGAGUAAUGCCUAGGAAUCUGCCUGGUAGUGGGGGACAACGUUUUGAAAGGAACGCUAAUACCGCAUACGUCCUACGGGAGAAAGCAGGGGACCUUCGGGCCUUGCGCUAUCAGAUGAGCCUAGGUCGGAUUAGCUAGUUGGUGGGGUAAUGGCUCACCAAGGCGACGAUCCGUAACUGGUCUGAGAGGAUGAUCAGUCACACUGGAACUGAGACACGGUCCAGACUCCUACGGGAGGCAGCAGUGGGGAAUAUUGGACAAUGGGCGAAAGCCUGAUCCAGCCAUGCCGCGUGUGUGAAGAAGGUCUUCGGAUUGUAAAGCACUUUAAGUUGGGAGGAAGGGCAGUAAGCUAAUACCUUGCUGUUUUGACGUUACCGACAGAAUAAGCACCGGCUAACUCUGUGCCAGCCGCCGCGGUAA
This 500-nucleotide ribosomal RNA is filed under the name uncultured bacterium. RNAcentral describes it as "partial 16S ribosomal RNA". It matches the Rfam family "Bacterial small subunit ribosomal RNA", at positions 30 to 523 of the family's 1533-position model. The record is from RNAcentral.